This 3115-nucleotide small RNA is filed under the name Pongo abelii (Sumatran orangutan). RNAcentral's name for it is "retained intron". Lineage: Eukaryota; Metazoa; Chordata; Mammalia; Primates; Hominidae. The record is from RNAcentral.
UAUGCUUUUCUGUACAAUGGUAAGUUAUAGCAUUUGGGUUUGGAAUUUUCAGUAGAUGUUUGUUUGUCCCUGGAUUGGUUUUUUUUCCUUCUGUUUAGUGAACAGAAACAGAUUCCAUGCCCUCAGGGUAUGGUAGCACCAGCCACUAUUAAAAAGCCCAAAGGACAGCAUCUGAAGCUUUGACAAUGUACUCUAGGGCUGGGGGGAAUUCAAAGGCCAAAGAUGUUCAGCACCAGGGAAGCUGGAAGGAGCCAGCAGGGUGGAACUACGGUGAUGGGGAAGUGCCUGGGGAGGGAAAGCUUGGUGUAUACGGCAUUCUACUAACAGUCUUUCCACCCUUCCCCCUUUUUCCAGGUUUGGACAGCGCCAAUAGGUAUGUCUAGGCUUUGUGACUUUUAUGUUUUCCCUCUUGAAAUGCCCUGCAAGGAAAGAAGGGAUGUUAUCGAGAAAUGCCCUGAAUUUCUGAAUCAUCUUAUGGGGCAGAAGAAUUGGCCGUUUGGAGGGUGUUGUUUUAUUUUGGGUGUUUUGUCUUGUUCUCCUAUUAUAAUAUGACACACGGGUUCUAUCUCAGGUUGCUGUCAAUAUUGAGACUGGAAAACUCAGUGUCGCCACCUUUCUCAGUAUCUACACAGUCUCUUCUCUGGUUAGCAUCCUGAGGAAGAACACUGCUCUAAGAAGGCUGCCUUCCUCAUUCCAGGGCAGAGUCUGUUCACUCAUCCAGCCCAGACCCAGCAGGAGCCUCUUUCCUGUGUGUGAGGCUCAGCGCUAGACGCUGGAUGUGCAGGGGUGGGCGUAGAGGAGGGCUUAAACCACACGAAUGCACGUUACCAACUGGGAUGUGUCUGUGAGGAAGGACAAUGGGAAGGCACUGAUUAGAAUAGAGGGGCAGGGAAGCCAUUUCGGGAACUUGGUAUUUGAGCUCAGACCUGUGCAAAGGAAAGUUAGCUGGUGAAGAAAAGCUCAGGGAGUGUGCUCCAAACAGCAGAGAUAGCGUGUACAAGCUGUGAACCAAGAGGUGGGCCCAUGGGGACCCAGAAGGACGCCAGUGUGGCCGCAGCCUGGUGAAUGGCGGGCCAAUGUCUGUACGAUCAGGAGCUGGCAUUCCUGUGGGCCCUCUUGUGGGGCUCAGUUUUGUUCUUAAAGUAGUGGAAAAGAUGUUGGAAAAAUCCUCGGGCUUGAAAUGACAUAAUUUGAUUAAUGUUUUCAAAAGAUCAACUAUGGUCGCUGUAAAGAAAAUAGAUUAACAAGGGCAGAGUGGACACGGGACACCGGUGGCAGGGGUUGAACUAGGGAGGCACCAGUGGAGAAGGGAAAUGUAGGGAAAGAGGGCUCUGGGCAGGACUGCGGGACAGGCAAGUGUUGGUAAUGGCUGCUUGUGCUGUGGCUUGGGAAACUGGGCAAACUGCAGAGAAAGAUGCUCUUACUUGCUCUUAACUUGUGGGCUUUUGUGAUCCCUGGAAUCCGUGCUUGUGAUGAGUAAUGUUUGUGAGUAACCAGAUGAUCAUUCUAUUCUCCCCUCUCCUCACCCACCCUACCCCCACCCUCACCACCACACAGGUCAUUUGGGAGAGAAACAAAAGCCACCAAUUCAGAUGUCAGGAAAGAGGUGACCAAUGUAAUCUCAAAGGAGUCAAAGCUGGACAGUCUGGAGGCUGCAGCCGAAAGCAAGAACUGCUCCAGCCCCCAGAGAGGUGGCUCCCCACCCUGGGCUGCAAAGAGCCAGCCUCAGCCCCCAAGGGAGUCCAAGCUGGAGUCAUACAAGGACUCGCCCAGAAUGGCCCCGCAGACCCCGGUCCUUCAGAAGACUUCCAGCUCCAUCACCCUGCAGGCCGCAAGAGUUCAGCCAGAACCAAGAGCACCAGGCCUGGGGGUCCUAUCACCUUCUGGAGAAGAGAGGAAGAGCCCAGCUGCUCCCCGUCCAGCCACCUUCCCCACCAGGCAGCCUGGCCUGGGGAGCCAAGACGUUGUGAGCAAGGCUGCUACCAGGAGAAUCCCCAUGGAGGGCCAGAGGGAUUCAGCAUUCCCCAAAUUUGAGAGCAAGCCCCAAAGCCAGGAGGUCAGGGAAAAUCAAACUGUCAAGUUCAGAUGUGAAGGGCUUGCCGUGAUGGAGGUGGCCCCCUCCUUCUCCAGUGUCCUGAAGGACUGCACCGUCAUUGAGGGCCAGGAUUUUGUGCUGCAGUGCUCCAUACAGGGGACCCCAGUGCCCCGGAUCACUUGGCUGCUGAAUGGGCAGCCCAUCCAGUACGCUCGUUCCACCUGUGAGGCCGGCGUGGCUGAGCUCCACAUCCAGGAUGCCCUGCCGGAGGACCAUGGCACCUACACCUGCCUGGCUAAGAAUGCCUUGGGGCAGGUGUCCUGCAGCGCCCGGGUCACCGUCCGUGAAAAGAAGAGUAGCGAGAAGAGCAAGUACCUUCUGCCUGUGGCUCCCAACAAGCCCACUGCACCCGUAUUCCUGCAGGGCCUCUCUGAUCUCAAAGUCAUGGAUGGAAGCCAGGUCACUAUGACUGUCCAAGUGUCAGGUCUGUCUCUGCAGCUCUCUCUUGGGGAUUAACAUGAAAAUGGUCUUGGUUGCAAUGGGUAUUGCUCUCUGAGGACCCACUCAGAUCAUUGAUCCACCAGAAAAUCAGAUGGGACCAUCAGGUGAUGGACCCAAAGAAAUGGAGACUCUUGUCCUCUCUUUUCUGCCUUCUCUGGGUAGGAUUUUCUGGAUUCAUGAUUAAAUGAUCCAGAGGAAGAAGAUGGCCAUAGAGCUAGAGCAGUGAGAGAUUAAUUUGAAAAUAUAGUGUGGCAAGUGUAGCUGGAAGGUUUUGAAGACUGGUACAAAACCAGAUUAUGGGCCGGGCACGGUGGCUCACGCCUGUAAUCCCAGCACUUUGGGAGGCCGAGGCAGCAGAUCACGAGGUCAGGAGAUCGAGACCAUCCUGGCUAACAUGGUGAAACCCCCGUCUCUACUAAAAAAUACAAAAAAAUUGCUGGGUGUGGUGGCGGGCGCCUGUAGCCCAGCUACUCGGGAGGCUGAGGCAGGAGAAUGGCGUGAACCUGGGAGGUGGAGCUUGCAGUGAGCCGAGAUCGUGCCACUGCACUCCAGCCCGGGCGACAGAGCAAAGACUAUCUC